GAAAAGGUAAUUUAAAUAAAAAUAUUGUAUUUCAAAUGCAAUUAUAAGAUGUGUCUUCCUUUUUG
RNAcentral lists this transfer RNA (65 nucleotides) under Septifer bilocularis. Its description in RNAcentral is "tRNA-Trp". Lineage: Eukaryota; Metazoa; Mollusca; Bivalvia; Mytilida; Mytilidae. The record is from RNAcentral.